Molecule: RNase P RNA, 407 nt
Filed under: Burkholderiaceae bacterium
Lineage: Bacteria; Pseudomonadati; Pseudomonadota; Betaproteobacteria; Burkholderiales; Burkholderiaceae
Description: RNase P RNA component class A
Rfam family: Bacterial RNase P class A
About the family: Ribonuclease P (RNase P) is a ubiquitous endoribonuclease, found in archaea, bacteria and eukarya as well as chloroplasts and mitochondria. Its best characterised activity is the generation of mature 5'-ends of tRNAs by cleaving the 5'-leader elements of precursor-tRNAs.
Source: RNAcentral
GAUGCAAGCUGGGCAAUCGCGGCGGUAAACGUCGAGGAAGGUCCGGACUCCAUAGGGCAGGGUAACGGUUAACGGCCGUCCAGUGGGUUAGCGUGUAAGCGCUAAAACGCUGAGGAAUAGGACCACAGAGACGAGUCUGCAGUGGGGGCCAUUGAAAGGUGGCUCUGGCACGGUCAUCACCGUGCUGCGUGGUUUGCUUGCAAACCCAACAGUGCAGGGUGAAACGCGGCAACCUCUACCCGGAGCAACACCAAAUAGGCAUGCGUGCGAUGUAAAUCGUAAUGGGCGGCACCGUUCAAGUAUGCGGGUAGGUGGCUAGAGAUGCACAGUAAUGUGCGUACCAGAGGAAUGAUUGCCAGCCUGUGAAAACAGGUUUACAGAAUCCGGCCUAUAGGCUUGCAUCGCAA